AUGACGAGGACUCCGAGACGUACUUCUACCCCUGCCCGUGUGGGGAUAACUUCUGCAUCACCAAGGAAGAUUUGGAGAAUGGGGAAGACGUGGCAACGUGCCCUAGCUGCUCACUCAUUAUUAGAGUGAUUUAUGACAAAGAUCAGUUUACUUGUGGAGAGACAGUCCCAGCCCCCUCCACCAACAAAGAACUAGUUAAAUGCUAAAGAAGACUUCAGGACUUCAAAGCCUGAACUUUUGGGAAUGAGCCAAGGUGGAAGAAUCAAAUGCAGAGUCACUGGCUUCUUCAUGUGGACCAACAUUUUGUAGUUUGCUGUUCAUUAGCGUGUGGAUUCUUUCCAUUGGCGGCUGGGUUCAUCUCCAAUUGAAGAAGCAGGUUCACCACAUGACAUACCCAGGUUUUGUGCUUAGAACUUUAAAAUUGGAAGUGUUCUUAAUUUUCCAUCCACACUUAAAAGAAGAUAAUUUCAAAUCAGUGCUUUCUUUCCCUCAGUUUUGUUGCUUUUAUGACUUACACCUAAUUUCAUUAUCUGACAACAGCAUUAUCUACCUUAAAGUCAUUAAGAUGCUUUAAUUUAAAAAAGGGAUUUUAUUUUUUAGUUGGUCAUUAAGAUUAUUAAAACUAGCCAUUUCUUUAAUUUCACAUCAUCUUUGCUGUUCUAAACUGAAGGAAAUUAGUUGCCUCUUGUCAGUCGGGAUUGCACCUUCAGUUGGCCAUGCCAGUCUUCCAGAGCUAGCAGUUAGUCAAAUGUUUGUGUUCUGUUAAGCAUGCCAUUUCCGUUAUACAACACCUGUUUUUGCUGAAGAUGAAUUUGAAAAUGAGAUGCCUCUUCUAGUUAAAUAUGCGCGUGGGUGGAGAUCCCCAUCCUGACUCAGUGGAAAUGAAUCUGGCUAGUAUCCACAAGGAUGCAGGUUCAAUCCCUGGCCUCUGUCACUGGGUUAGGAAUCCGGCGUUGCCUUGAGCUGUUGUGUAGGUCACAGACACGGCUCGGAUCUGGCAUUGCUGUGGCUGUGUUAUAGGCCAGCGCCUACAGCUCCGAUUCAGCCCCUAGCCUGGGAACCUCCAUAUGCCGAGGGUGCAGCCCUAAAAAAAAAAAAAAAAUAUGCCUUGAGGCUCAUCUGAUAAACUUCUAUAAGCUGCAACCACAUCAGACAUUCACUCUUUGCAGAGAAAUUUUGCCCUGGAGAAAAGCAUAUAAAGAUAAGCUAUCAGUCUUCCUUUGCUACAGUCCUGAGAGUAGCAAGAAAGAGAAUCACUCAUAUAGAAAUUCCAGAAUUCCCUUUAUAUACACACCUUUGCUAUGUGUAUAUAAAGUUAAACAAACCAAUGUCUGGCAGGUUGUUUGGGGAAUGGCUCCUGCAGUUAGAAAAAUAGCUUGCCAAAAUGUGAAAAUUCUGUUACUAACUGAUAAAUGUGCUGAACACACUCUUUGAGGGUCUAAAUUAAAACAGGCAAGUGUUUUUUUUCUCCCUGCUAGCAGCAUAGCUAUGUGGAGCCAUUAGGCUGAGACAUAAUUAACCACCGAAAAUUGAAUGCCAGGACUGCUUGGUACAUUAUAUGAACUAUUAUAUGGCACAUGCUUCAUGUUAGGAGAAACCCCAUCCCCAUUUGAGACACUGAUGCCCCAGGGGUAAUCCACAGUUGUUUUGAAAGCAGUGACGGCUCAGGUGAACAGAGCAGGGUGUGUGUUGACCCUUGGGGAUGAGCUGCAAUGAGAAACUGAGGUUUUGUAGAUACCAAUAACUGAUGAUGAAUUUCAGGCAAUAACAGACAUCCUUGGUGUCAUAGUCUGCUAGAGCACAGAAGAGCAGGAAGAAGUUCCCUAAGUCCAGACGUCCCAGGAGAAAAGAAGCAAAUGGCACUGGCGAUGAAUAAACUGUGAUAAUGAGAACAAUUUUGUUUCCAAAGCAAGUGAAUCACUAAAUCUGUUAACCACAAAAACACAUAUCAGGAUUUAAUGCUAUGUUAAGCAGAAGGUAAAACCAGGUCUUGAAGGUCUGACUAGCAUUCUUUGUGGUGUGUGCCUUGUUUAGCUUAACAGACAUUUCAGAGCCUCUGAGAACUGAUGGUAAUCUAGGCUUUGUCUCUUGCUAGCUUUGUGAUCUUUGGCAAGGCUAGUGGAUUCCUCAUCUGUACAGUUAGGAGACUGGUUCAGGGGGUUUCAAACUCAGUACUAUGAUUUCAGGCUUUGUAGUUUGCAGAAGCUGGAAUAAUAAUUGAAACCUUUCUAAACUAAACAUGAUCUACAAGGAUCAUGCAUGUACUUUAGUGUAUACAUUCAGAACCUUAUUUUGUGGAAAGCACCCAACAUUUUUGAUAACUGUACAUACUAAUUUAUUACCAGAAUAAAUUGUAUUGGCAUGCUAAAUAAAAGAUUAUUUAUAUCCCUUUGUUUUCAUGCAGUAUUCUUCCCCUAGACACCAGUGUUAUGUAUUAAAAGGUUAUAGUGUGAUUUUAUAUGAGGUGGAAAUCUAACCUUCUUUGGGAUAUUAUAAGUAGGUUUCUGAUAUGAACAGUAAGUUUUAAAAUAGGAAAGAAAUUGCCACUCUUUCUACAGUUUGACCACAUGAGUUUUGGUUCUGAAGUUUUAUUGUUAUUCAGGAAAAAAUAGCUUUGAAUUGUGGCAAUAAGGCAAAAAUAGUUGACAUUCUUUCUUUUUUUUUGUCUUUUUGCCUUUUCUAGGGCCGCUCCCUCGGCAUAUGGAGGUUCCCAGAAUAGGGGUCAAAUCAGAGCUGUAGCCACCGGCCUACACUAGAGCCACAGCAAUGUGGGACCCAAGCCGCAUCUGCAACCUACACCACAGCUCACGGCAACACUGGAUCCUUAACCCACUGAGCAAGGCCAGGGAUCGAACCUGCAACCUCAUGGUUCCUAGUCAGAUUCGUUAACCACUACUCCACGACAGGAACUCCAAAAAUAGUUGACAUUCUUAGCCGAGUAAUUCAGUUCAUUGCUAGGAAGGAAGGUUGAUAUUUAAGACUGACGAUCAAUGAGGGAGCCAUCAAAAUGGAGCAGUAGGAUCUGGAGCUCACCUCCUUCCACAAGUACAUCAAAAAUACAUAGACAUGUCAAAUGAUUCUCACAGGACGUCUGAAUGCUAGCAGAAGACCCUAGACUUCUGAAAAGGCAAGAAAAUCUCUACCUAACUGGGUAGGAAAAAAGAAAAGGGGCGGGGGGGAGGACAGGACCUGUACCCCUGGGAGAGAGCUGUUAAAGAGGAAAGGUUCCCACAUCCUGAGAAGUCCCCUCAGAGGCAGGGAUAUCAGGACAGAGGGGGAGUUUUGGAGCCUCACAGGCAUGCACAGCAACCAGUUUGCAGAGGGCAAAAUGGAGAGAGACCUGCUCAGAAGGUUGGUGCCAUGGCCCUGAGCUCCCCAGCGUGAGACUCAUCCACUGGUGCAGGUGGGGUCUGGGCCCUGAAGUUUGGGCUUCAGAGAUCAGACCAGGGGUUAGGGUUGGCCAUAAGAGAUAGCCUGAAGGGGCUGGGGUGUGGUGCAGCCACAACUGAGGGUGCAGCCCAAGAAGACUGGGCCUGCAAGGCCCAUUUGUUGUGGGGAGAUGCAUGAGGGGAAGGGCAGGACUGCCAUAGGAGCCUCUUUGUGUGCAAGCAUGCUAUCAGAUGACAGGGCAUCCACCCCACCCCACCCCCACUCUGGAGGCAGGCAUGAGCCACUACUGCCAUCAUGGGCAUGAGCUGCCUCACCUGCAUACCUCCUAUCACAGGAAUAACAGCCAGCACACUGAAGAAAGAGGUGGAAGGCAUCCAUUCUAAAAACACUCCUCACAUCAAAAAUAGUAAACCCACGGAAGUUACACAGGGAUGCUUCCGCAUAUAAAUAGACUUCUAAGACCACAGUAGAUCAUUGUUUCUCCUAAACUCACAGAGAAAGAGAAAUACAAGUAAAACGAAGAAGCAAAGGAACAACUCCCCGUUAAAAGACCAAGAGAAUUUCCGUGAAAGAACAAUGAAAUAGACCUCUUCUAAUGGACGCUGAGUUAAAAAGGGAGAUAGUGAAAAUACUGAAAGAAAUAAGAAGGGUUAUCAACAGAAACGCAGUUACUGGUAAAAAGAACUAGAAAAAAUAAAUUGGUGUGUUUUGAGGUUUGUUUUUUUUUUUACUUUUUAGGGCCACACCCUUGGCAUAUGGAAGUUCCCAGGCUAGGGGUUGAACUGGGGUUGCAGCUGCUGGCCUACACCACAGCCAUAGCAAUGUGGGAUCCAAGCUGUGUGACCUACACCACAGCUCACGGCAACACUGGAUCCAUAACCUACUGAGCAAGGCCAGGGAUUGAACCUACAUCCUCAUGGAAACUAAUCGGAUUCUUAAUCCACUGAGCCACAGCAGGAACUCCCAAAUUGGUGUUAAAUCUUGUCAAAAGCUUUUUCUGCAUCUAUUGAGAUGACCAUAUGGUUUUUAUUCUUCAGUUUGUUAAUGCGUUGUAUCACACUGAUUGAUUUGUGGAUAUUGAAGAAUCCAUGAAUUCCUGGGAUAAGUCCCGCUUGAACAAGGUAUAUGAUCCUUUUAAUGUACUUUCGGAUUCUGUUUGCUUGUAUUUCACUGAGAAUUUUUGUGUCUAAGUUCAUUACUGAUAUUGGCCUGUAUCAAUCAGCUGUGUAUGGACAGCUGCAUAUAAAUCAAUGAAGUUAGAUUACACAAAAAUAAACUCAAAAUGGCUUAAAGAAUUAAACAUAAGACACAAUACCACAAAACUGGAAGAUAACAUAGGCAACACAUUCUCUGACAUAAAUUGUAGCAAUGUUUUCUUUGGUUAGUUUCCCAAGGCAAUAGAACUAAAAGCAAAAAUAAAACAAAUGGGACCUAAUCAAACUUCCAAGUUUUGGCACAGCAAAGGAAACCAUAAACAAAAAGACAACCCACAGAAUGGGAGAAAAUAUUUGCAAACAAUGCGAUCCAAUUAAGGGCUUAAUUUCCAAAAUAUAUAAAUAGCUCACACAAGUCAGCAACAACAACAAAAACAAACAACCCAAUCAAAAAAUGGUCAGAAGACCUAAACAGAAGAAGAUAUACAGAUGGCAAAGAGGCACAUGAAAAAUAAUGCUUAAAGUCAAUAAUUAUUAGACACGAAUCAAAGCUGCAAAGAGGUGCUACCCUCACACCAAUCAGAAUGCCCGUCAUUUAAAAAGUCUACAAAUAAUAAAUGCUGGAGAGGGUGUGAAGAAAAGAGAACACUCCUACACUGUUGGUGGGAAUGUAAGUUGGUGUAACCGCUAUGGAAAACAGUAUGGAGUUUCCUUAGAAAACUAAAAAUUGAAGUACGAUAUGAUCCAGCAAUCCCACCCCUGGGAAUAUGUCCUCACAAAACUAUAGUUCAAAAAGAUACCAUGUACCCCUAUGCUCAUAUCAGUACUAUUCACAAUAGCCAAGGCAUGGAACAACCUAAAUGUCCAUUGCCAAAUGAAUGGAUAAAGAAGAUGUGGUACACAUAUAAAAUUGAAUAUUACUCAGCCAUAAAAAAAUGAAAUAACGCCAUCUGCAGCAACAUGGAUGGAACUAGAGAUUAUCAUACUAAGUAAAGGAAAUCCAAAAGAGAAAGACAAAUACCAUAUGAUAUCAAUUAUAUGUGGAAUCUAAAAAUGACAAAAAUGAACCUAUCUAUAGAACAGAAACAGUCCCAUAGACAUGAGAACACUGGUUGUCAAGGAGGAGAGGGGUGAGAGAGGGAUGGAAUAGUAUUUGGGGAUUAGCAGAGGCAAAUUGUUAUAUGUUACAUAUAGAAUGGAUACACAACAAGAUCCUUCUGUAUACAACAGGGAAUUAUAUUCAAUUUCCUGUGAUAAACCAUAAUGGAAAAGAAUUUUUAAAAAGAAUGUGUAUAUAUAUAUAUAUAUAUGUAUAACUGCAUCACUUUUCUGUACAGCAGAAAUUAACACAUUAUAAAUCAAUUGUAUGUCAAUAAAAAA
RNAcentral lists this long non-coding RNA (5924 nucleotides) under Sus scrofa (pig). RNAcentral's name for it is "lncRNA (ENSSSCG00065025884.1)". The record is from RNAcentral. Lineage: Eukaryota; Metazoa; Chordata; Mammalia; Artiodactyla; Suidae.